Molecule: ribosomal RNA, 1594 nt
Filed under: Pectobacterium odoriferum
Lineage: Bacteria; Pseudomonadati; Pseudomonadota; Gammaproteobacteria; Enterobacterales; Pectobacteriaceae
Description: bacterial LSU rRNA
Rfam family: Bacterial large subunit ribosomal RNA
Source: RNAcentral
GGCAGGGUGAGUCGACCCCUAAGGCGAGGCUGAAAAGCGUAGUCGAUGGGAAACAGGUUAAUAUUCCUGUACUCGGUGUUACUGCGAAGGGGGGACGGAGAAAGCUAGGUUAUCCGGGCGACGGUUGUCCCGGUUUAAGCGUGAAGGUGGAUGACUUUGGUAAAUCCGGGUCGUCAUUAACACUGAGGCGUGAUGACGAGUCACUACGGUGAUGAAGUAACUAAUGCUACGCUUCCAGGAAAAGCCUCUAAGCUCCAGGUAACAUCAAAUCGUACCCCAAACCGACACAGGUGGUCAGGUAGAGAAUACUCAGGCGCUUGAGAGAACUCGGGUGAAGGAACUAGGCAAAAUGGUGCCGUAACUUCGGGAGAAGGCACGCUGAUGGUAGGUGAAGUGACUUGCUCACGGAGCUGAAAUCAGUCGAAGAUACCAGCUGGCUGCAACUGUUUAAUAAAAACACAGCACUGUGCAAACACGAAAGUGGACGUAUACGGUGUGACGCCUGCCCGGUGCCGGAAGGUUAAUUGAUGGGGUCAGCCGCAAGGCGAAGCUCUUGAUCGAAGCCCCGGUAAACGGCGGCCGUAACUAUAACGGUCCUAAGGUAGCGAAAUUCCUUGUCGGGUAAGUUCCGACCUGCACGAAUGGCGUAAUGAUGGCCAGGCUGUCUCCACCCGAGACUCAGUGAAAUUGAACUCGCUGUGAAGAUGCAGUGUACCCGCGGCAAGACGGAAAGACCCCGUGAACCUUUACUAUAGCUUGACACUGAACCUUGAGCCUUGAUGUGUAGGAUAGGUGGGAGGCUUUGAAGCGUGGACGCCAGUCUGCGUGGAGCCAACCUUGAAAUACCACCCUUUAAUGUUUGAUGUUCUAACGUGGACCCGUAAUCCGGGUUGCGGACAGUGUCUGGUGGGUAGUUUGACUGGGGCGGUCUCCUCCCAAAGCGUAACGGAGGAGCACGAAGGUUAGCUAAUCCUGGUCGGACAUCAGGAGGUUAGUGCAAAGGCAUAAGCUAGCUUGACUGCGAGAGUGACAGCUCGAGCAGGUGCGAAAGCAGGUCUUAGUGAUCCGGUGGUUCUGAAUGGAAGGGCCAUCGCUCAACGGAUAAAAGGUACUCCGGGGAUAACAGGCUGAUACCGCCCAAGAGUUCAUAUCGACGGCGGUGUUUGGCACCUCGAUGUCGGCUCAUCACAUCCUGGGGCUGAAGUAGGUCCCAAGGGUAUGGCUGUUCGCCAUUUAAAGUGGUACGCGAGCUGGGUUUAGAACGUCGUGAGACAGUUCGGUCCCUAUCUGCCGUGGGCGUUGGAAGAUUGAGAGGGGUUGCUCCUAGUACGAGAGGACCGGAGUGAACGCACCACUGGUGUACGGGUUGUGAUGCCAAUUGCAUUGCCCGGUAGCUAAGUGCGGAAGAGAUAACCGCUGAAAGCAUCUAAGCGGGAAACUUGCCUCGAGAUGAGUCUUCCCUGGGCACUAGAUGCCCCUGAAGGGCCGUUGAAGACGACGACGUAGAUAGGCUGGGUGUGUAAGCGUAGCGAUACGUUGAGCUAACCAGUACUAAUGACCCGAGAGGCUUAACCUUACAACACCGAAGGUGUUU